Molecule: non-coding RNA, 86 nt
Organism: Roridomyces roridus
Lineage: Eukaryota; Fungi; Basidiomycota; Agaricomycetes; Agaricales; Mycenaceae
Source: the annotation of a GenBank genome assembly
UUCUCCUUAGUUCAAUGGUAGAACACACCUUCCCACGUCAGGGCGUGAGCGAGGGUGAGACGGCGGUUCGAUUCUACCAGGUGACA